RNAcentral lists this unclassified non-coding RNA (345 nucleotides) under soil metagenome. RNAcentral's name for it is "partial contains 5.8S ribosomal RNA, internal transcribed spacer 2, and large subunit ribosomal RNA". The stretch from base 1 to 120 matches the Rfam family "5.8S ribosomal RNA", at positions 35 to 154 of the family's 154-position model. The record is from RNAcentral.
GAUGAAGAACGUAGCGAAAUGCGAUACGUAAUGUGAAUUGCAGAAUUCAGUGAAUCAUCGAGUCUUUGAACGCACAUUGCGCCCCCUGGUAUUCCGGGGGGCAUGCCUGUCCGAGCGUCAUUGCUGCCCUCAAGCACGGCUUGUGUGUUGGGCCUCCGUCCUCCUCCCGGGGGACGGGCCCGAAAGGCAGCGGCGGCACCGCGUCCGGUCCUCGAGCGUAUGGGGCUUUGUCACCCGCUCUUGUAGGCCCGGCCGGCGCUUGCCGACACCCAACCAUUUUUUUCAGGUUGACCUCGGAUCAGGUAGGGAUACCCGCUGAACUUAAGCAUAUCAAUAAGCGGAGGA